RNAcentral lists this long non-coding RNA (259 nucleotides) under Sorghum bicolor (sorghum). RNAcentral's name for it is "long non-coding RNA (SBIC_LNC002498)". Lineage: Eukaryota; Viridiplantae; Streptophyta; Magnoliopsida; Poales; Poaceae. The record is from RNAcentral.
UGAACAUUUGCUAUCAUCAUCAUGAGUACCAAUUGUAGGAUAUCACUUGAAGAAACAUUUGAGUCUAGAUAUCCAUUUUCAUUGUUGUCUUGUUCUUGUACUCUCAUCAUCAUGAGCUUCUAAUUGUUGACUUGAACUAUGUUGAUUUGCCUAAGCUUCCAAGUCCGGUUUGAACCAAUGACAAGCUUUUUCACACCUCACAUUAAGGGUUAUCUUGCCAAUGUUGUACUUGUUACUUGUUAACAAUCCAAAAUAGAUC